Molecule: ribosomal RNA, 497 nt
Filed under: uncultured bacterium
Lineage: Bacteria
Description: partial 16S ribosomal RNA
Rfam family: Bacterial small subunit ribosomal RNA
Source: RNAcentral
GAUGAACGCUGGCGGCGUGCCUAAUACAUGCAAGUCGAGCGAACGGUCGAGAAUCUUGCUUCUCUGAUGUUAGCGGCGGACGGGUGAGUAACACGUGGAUAACCUACCUAUAAGACUGGGAUAACUUCGGGAAACCGGAGCUAAUACCGGUUGAUAUUUUGAACAGCAUGGUUCUAUAGAGAAAGACAGUCUUGCUGUCACUCAUAGCUUGAUCUGCGCUGCAUUAGCUAGUUGGUAAGGAAAAGGCUUACCAUGGCAACGAUGCAUAGCCGCAAUGAGAGGAUGAUCGGCCAGCCUGGAACUGUGACACGGCCCAGACUCCUACGGGAGGCAGCAUUAGUGAUUCUUGCGGAAGGGGCGAAAGCCAGAGGGAGCAAGACCGCGUGAGUGAUGAAGGUCUUCGGAUCGUAAAACUCUGUUAUUAGGGAAGAAAAGAUGUGUAAGUAACUGUGCACGUAUUGACGGUACCUAAACAGAAAGCCACGGCUAAAUACGUG